CGGUAAUACGGAGGGUGCGAGCGUUAAUCGGAAUUACUGGGCGUAAAGCGCAUGCAGGUGGUUUGUUAAGUCAGAUGUGAAAGACCCGGGGCGUCAACCUACGGAAUAGCAUUUGUAAACUAGGCAGACUAGAGUACUGUAGAGGGGGGUAGGAAUUUCAGGUGUAGCGGUGAAAUAGCGUAGAGAUCUGAAGGAAUACCGGUGGCGAAGGCGGCCCCCUCGGACAGAUACUGACACUCAGAUGCGAAAGCGUGGGGAGCAAACAGGAUUAGAUACCCUGGUAG
This 284-nucleotide ribosomal RNA is filed under the name uncultured bacterium. Its description in RNAcentral is "partial 16S ribosomal RNA". It matches the Rfam family "Bacterial small subunit ribosomal RNA", at positions 518 to 793 of the family's 1533-position model. The record is from RNAcentral.